CUUACAUUGAACCAUUUUACUGUUCCCAAAACCUUCGUUGCUGGAGGAGAAAAAGAACCACGAUUACCAGGCACCCUUUUUUUUUUUUUUAAAAAACCGCCACGCUUCAGCAUCCGGUCCCUCGGGCGCUUCCCGGUGGCGGCCAGAGGCCACCUGACAGCCUUUCUCUUUAUCUGUAGAGCCUGCUCCGGAGCCGAGAUCCGAGGCCCUCGGCGCCUCCGCGGUCCACGUGGGCAUGUAUCACAUCUACAGGAUAUCUCAGAAUGGGGGACAGUGUUUCCUAAAUCUCAAUUAUUCCAAAUAGCACGUUCACAACUAUUACCAUAUCCACUAUCUACAGAUGCAAAUAUUAAAAGACAUUCAUUCCAGCACCACUGAAAGCGGCAUUACCCACAUUCCUCUGAUAAGCAUUUGAGAUGCUUGUUACAAACAGAAUCCUGGGUCCCACCUUAAACUAACUCAAUCAAACUCUCCUGAGGGAGGGACCUGGGAAUUAGUAGGUUUUUCAAAUGCCCCCAAGUGAUUCUUCUCUUUAGGGGAGUUUGGGAAACAAUGAAGUAAAGUAAGUUCUCCACUGCUUGCCACAAAUACCAGGUUUGGGGAUCACAGGGAGGUGAGCAGCAAUUCAGACUAGCAAGGUUGCCAGAGCCAACAGCCACUCCCUUUUCCAAGAGACUCUUAGGCUUUCAAAACAGAGGUUCCACCAGCCCUUAUGUGAUUGUAAGUAGCAAAGAACACAGUUCAGACUAUGACAGGAGAAUCGUGAGGGCCACAAUUCACCUAUGUAUCUAUGCAUCAGAUUGAUCAUAGAAAGCUUUCACAGGACCACAAGAUAAAACCAAGGUUUCUACAUGUAAAGCUGUACAGAAAACUUCACUUUAACUAAAAUCAAAGUCAGAAUCUAAGGCAAAAUACAAAAGAGCUCUAAAAGGAAGUGCUUCAGAAGCAACCAAUGAGUGCAUAAAUAAAUGGAACAACAAACUGAUGUUUCUCUCUUCUCUUUCUCUCUCUCUCUCUCUCUCUCUCUCUCUCUCUCUCUCUCUCUCUCUCUUUUUGUCUCAAUAAGUAAAAAAAAUAAAUUAAAAACUAUUCAAAUGUAUGGGCUGGCUUUAGCUCAGUGUUUCCUUUACAUACAAAUGUGAUAGAUG
Myotis myotis is the source of this 1148-nucleotide long non-coding RNA. RefSeq lists it as uncharacterized. NCBI's taxonomy places the organism in Eukaryota, Metazoa, Chordata, Mammalia, Chiroptera, Vespertilionidae. The record is from RefSeq and is a predicted model, not a curated record. The transcript is spliced from 3 exons.